This 4708-nucleotide unclassified non-coding RNA is filed under the name Hevea brasiliensis (rubber tree). The record is from RNAcentral. Lineage: Eukaryota; Viridiplantae; Streptophyta; Magnoliopsida; Malpighiales; Euphorbiaceae.
GAUAAACAAAGCCACUAAACAGAUCCAAAAUGCCUAAAUUUUCACCUUAUAUACAGAUCAGUUAUUUCAAUAGACAAUUGGGCAUGCCACUCGGGCUUUUCAAUCAACCAAAUGGCACGGUCGUCCUUGCUCUGGUAAAACCCUAAAACCCCAAGCCACUAAUCAAUGCAAAGCAAGCUAUGAGAGUAUAAAGGCUUGAUCUUGUCAGGAAGUCUAUUGAGCUGCUUGUCUUCUGUGGAUGACAAUUCCUCCUGUGACUCGGAGGAUUUAGAGGAAACUACUGUUAGGAUUUUUCUUGGAAUGUGUCAGAAAUGGUGGGGACAUGAAGGGUUCUAGAAAAGGGGAAGGGCAUGGGGAGGGAAGAAGAGAUCAUUUUGAAUAAGAUGAGGAAUGUCUAGAAUAUAGGAAAUGGGUAGAGGCAAAAAUAGAGCUAGAAAUGGUUGAUCUUGCUAGGGCUUUAUGGGUUCAUUUAAAUUCUCGUUCUUGGUGAAUUGGGAAAGAAAAAUUGGACAAUGGAAAAUUAUGACUUAACGCAGAAGAAGAAUUCAUCAUCUUCUUCAUCUUCAAGUUUGGAUGUAAUUUUGCGGUGUGAGCAAGCAGGCAGACGCUGUUUCCCUCAGUGUUUGACAUAUGGGUAAUGGUUAUUGGAUGUCACGUGAGAUGGUCAAAUGAUAAUCCUGUGACCAGAAACAUGCCCGCCAAAUGAACCCCAUUUUCGCAUUCCCGCCCUCUUCCGGAAGAUUUGAUCUAAACGACAUUGUUUUGUUUUGACUUUCGCCCUUUGCCUUUCCCUAGCCUCCAAAAUCCUCUGCAUCUGCAACUCACAACUCCUCUCUCAUAGAUUUGUCUCUGCAAUGGCGAUAAUAGACUCAAUCACAGACUAUAGUAAAACCCAACGUGUAGUUCUCCUCAUAGACCUAAACCCACUUCUCCACCUCAAAGACCCAAAUCCAUAUCUUAUCUCUUUGCUUUCCUGUGCUAAAACCCUUCUCUCUUUCCCUCCACUUUCCUCCUCUCUCUUCUCCUUUAAGCCCUUUUAUCUUCCUUCUCUGGGCUCCUCUCCUCUUCUAAGCUUUCCAUCCCUUCUUUGUCUCUCUCUUUCAACCGCCCAAAUUCCACUCUCGAGUCUCUCACCCAAACCGUCACUGCCCUUCUCUCUGCCAUCGAUAGAACUUCGAUUCCGCCCCUCUCGCCUCGGGCUUUGCACCUUGCAGCGUCGAUGCGUCAGCUUGUUCAUGAUUACGCUUGGGAUUCUGUGAUCUGCGAUUCACUUGCGGGUACGCUUUCGAAUUGCGACUCAUUUGUAAAAUCGAAUUUAGUUGUUUUGUUUUCCCCAAUUAUUUCGUCUUUGAAAUGCUUGUCAGAAUUCUUCAGUGUAGAGAUGAGUGAUGAGUGUUUGAGAAAUGUGGACGGGUUGAUUAAGAAGUUCCGUGAGUCCUUUGAGAGCGUCAAUGAGGCUUUUAUUAGUAGGGACAUUCAUUUCAGUUGGGUUGAUGUGAAGUAUGAGACCGCGUGUGCUGCAUAUAAGGGUGAUUUUGAGGAACCCGAGUUGGUAUAUGGGUUUUUCGAGAGUGGGAUUAGGGAUUUAGGCUGGGGGUUUUGUUCAAGUGAGUCUAUUGUUUUGGGUUCUGCACUCGUUCCUUUUGGAUUAAUUUAUCCAAGGAUUGGAAUUUCGCCGAGAUUGAUUAAUUUGGAUGAUAGUUAUCAGGCUAUCAAUGCGCAACUGAGUCUCGAGAUACUAGAUGUGAGUGAAAAGCCUUUGGAAUGUAAGUGUUGUGAUAUAGAAUUGGUUAAUCUCAAUUGGUUUUCUGGAAUUAGCCCAAAGUUCACGGAUCCACAAACUUAUAGUUUUGAGCAAAAGAAAAUGGUUUGGAGAAAUCUUAGUCAUGGAAUGACAAAACUACAUGUUAAAGCAGUUAAAAAACAUGUUAAGUGUGUAAACUUGGAGGGGUUCUUGUCUGAUCCCAUUUUUGUGCGUGAGCUUUCACGGGAUUCUGAGAAAGUUCAAAAUGAAAGUUGCAGUGAACUUUUUGAAGACAAGGUUCUUGAAAUCCUGAGGAUGGAAAUGGGCAACUCGGUGCCAAGAAAAUCUGUACCCAUUUGGGAAAUUCUUUUCAGUUUUCUAUAUAGAGAAGAUUAUUGGGCUUUGGUGUCUCUUUCAAAUGGCAAUGGCAAUUCACUUGUGGGAAUCCUGAAGCCUUUCACAGUUUCUUUAGCUCUCCUCUCAAUUAUAAGAGAUCACUCUAUAAUAAAUGAAUUUGAUGGAGCAGGUUUAGGUCAAUUUGUUAUGAAGGCAGACACUGAGAUUUGCAAAUCCCAAUUAGAUUUGACCCAGUCCUUUGGACUCGUAGGUCCCCAAUCUGGGCCUCCACCUUCAGAAAACUGUGCUGAAGUUGGAGAUGGUAAAAGGAAGAAGAAGAAAAGUUUAAAUAUGCUUCAGGAACUAACGUGGAGUGCCUUUUGUAAGGCAGCACUGGAACACUUACAAAUAGAUUUGGAAGAUAUUUACUUUGCCAGGGGAUGCAGCAAGUCAAAGAAAUUAAAAUUUCUGAAAUGCUGGAUGAAACAGAUUAAGAAAUCUAGCAUUUGUAGCUUGCCCAUGCCUGAGAGAUCCAAACUGCAUCAGGACAUCUCUAAAAAAAUGGACAAUAGAUCAACCGAGUUGCCUCAGGAAUGUGAACAGCCAAUUCCUUCAUGUUCCUCAGUGGGAGAGGAUUCCUUGACCGGGGCUUCUAGAAUACAGGAUGAAGUUGCUCUUGGUUUUUGCUCAGAUACUUUGGAAAGUUUUUUUAAUGAUCUUCCACAUAAAAUCCAGCAAGGGAUUGAAUCUGAAGAAGUAGAGUUGGAGUCUUUGGCAAAUCGACUUGUUAACUCAUCUAUAUAUUGGUUAUGUCAAAAGCGUGAAAGGGAAACUGUGUCCGAGAGUCAAAUGCAUGUUGUAAAAUCUGAUGAUCCUUCUACUGGAACAGUUGCUGUUGAGCUGACUAAACUUUUAAUCAAGGAUCCUAAGGACUUGGCUGCUAUGUACAGAAAUAGAGAACUAUCCUCUCGGGCAUCUAAUCCAAGUGCUGCUGAAGUUACUUCAGAACAUAUUGUUAGAGAAUAUGAAUUACAGAUUUUAUAUCGCAUGGAGAUGCUCCAAUCAGAGGUUGGAGCAAGUUUUGGGGAGUCUACAAAACAAAAGUUUGUGAAGCAAAUUUGCUUGCUUUUAGAGACCAUUCAGUGCCAUCUGCAGGGAGGCUUUUUUGGUGAUUGGAGCCUUGAAAAAUAUAUGGGAAAGAUCAUAAAAAACAGGUACUUGUAACUACAUGAAAUUCACAUUUUUCCCCUGAAACUACUUCGUACGUGGCACCUACUAGGAAUCUCUUAGUUUCCUUUUUGAAGUCUAGAAUACACUUGGCUGUCGUUGAUUGUUUGAGCUGUUUGUUUCUAGUGCCUAUUAUUCCAUCACUAUUCUUUUAUUCUGUACCAUUGUCUGAAACAGUGUUGGAGGAAAUUCUUUUAUUGGUGUAGGAAUUAAUACAGGAUAUCUGAUCGUGCAUUCAUCUCUUAUUUCAGAGAAUGCUAGUGCGGCUGUUGUAUGCAUCAUAGGUACACAGCACUUGAGAUGACUGUAGCAUACAUAAACCAGCUCAACUAAGCUUUAAUCCUAUUCUAGGCAGGGGUUGGCUUUAUGUAUCGUCUUUCCUUCAAUUCUCUAUUUUUAGAGCUGCUUCUUUAGAUGAACUUGUGUAGAUUGAUGCCCAACUUUAUAAAUUGUUUUUUGAAUAUAUUAGAAGUAUUAAUAUUUAUGUAUUGGAGUUUGAAUGCGAGCAUCCCUUUUUGCUUGAGAGGAAAGAAUGUGAGCAUAGCUGAAUUAUACAUUUGAAUGCCUAAAUUUUCAGGUAUUGUCAGAGUCUUGGGGAUGUGGUUCAGAGAAUUUAUGCAAAAAUGGAUAUGUUGUUAUUUGAGGAUGAGGAUGAAUCCCCUAAUUCUUUGCUGAAUAGUGAGGACAGUAAUCAAUCCUGGAAAGGAAAACACAAGGGAGAUGAAAUGGAUGAAAACUGUAGAAACAACGAUCCAGUCUCUGCAGAAGAUGAAUCCUUCCAAUUGGUGGGAAAGGAGCAUGGAAGUCCCCAAGGAAUAAACAGGGAGAAGCACGCUCGUAAAUUAAUUGAAGCUCAGGAAAGAAGACAAAGAGCUCGUAGAUUUGCAUCUUUCACUAGCUGGGUUCCAGACUUGCAAAGAGUUUGGGCCCCAAAGCAGCCGAGGGCAAUGAAAGUGAGGUCAGAUCCUCUUCGGAAGCAAUUAAAAAGAAGGGAACAAAGAAGGGUAAACUAUGACACGGUAUGCGAGACCCCAAUGACUGGAAAGAAAAGUUCCAGCGGAGGAGGCAGCAUUGGUGGGGAAGACCACCAAGAUAAUGGGACCCCUUUGUGUGGUUCUGUUUCUAAGGCCCUGUUUCAAGAUGACUGAUAAUGCAAGUCAGAGUAACAGUUCUUAGGAUGCCCAGAUGACGUGCUUUUGCGAAAGGAAAAAAAAAAAAAGAAAUAAUUUCUUGAUAAGUUGCAAAACCCCAUGUAACAUAACAAUUAGAGCGUUAACUUUUCCCUUACAAAUCUAAUUUCUGUUAGCAAUUGUAAAAUUAUGAUAAUAUUGUUAUAACUUCACAUGAAACUGUUAUAUUUCUGAGAUAAUAAUGCAUUUUACUGAAUAAAGAUAAAUUUUC